AAUCAGAUGCCUCUCAUGGUCCCAGAUGGUUGGACUUUGCAAGCUGCUUCUCCUCGUCACUCUUUCUCUAAUUAACUUCAUAGGCAUAUUAGUCAUAAUUAGUCAACAUGUUAAUUAAUUAUCUCUUAUUAUAUCAUCAAACUCUCUUCCUUUGCUUAAUGUAAUUUUAUUUUGAGCUUAUAGUCAUUAUCAUUUUGUGUGUUUUGGUAUAGCGAUCACUAGCAAUAUUACUAUUAUGUCCCACCCUUGUUGGCCCACUAGCUAUUUAUAAAUGGAAUAAAAAUGACAAAAAUUAUAGAAUAGU
This 304-nucleotide unclassified non-coding RNA is filed under the name Hevea brasiliensis (rubber tree). Lineage: Eukaryota; Viridiplantae; Streptophyta; Magnoliopsida; Malpighiales; Euphorbiaceae. The record is from RNAcentral.